CUGGGAAUCUUGCGCAAUGGGCGAAAGCCUGACGCAGCGACACCGCGUGUGGGAAGAAGGCCUUCGGGUUGUAAACCACUGUGGCGAGGGAUGACUUCGACAGUACCUCGCUAGAAAGCACCUGCUAACCACGUGCCAGAAGCCUCGGUAAUACGUGGGGUGCAAGCGUUAUCCGGAUUUACUGGGCGUAAAGCGUACCGUCGGCGUCUUGGCAAGUCUUCCGUUUAAGCCUGGGGCUCAACUUCAGACCAGCGGAGGAAACUAUCAAGAUUGAGUUUGUUCGGGGGAACUAGAAUUCUCGGUGGAGGGGUGAAAUCCGUAGAUAUCGAGAGGAAUACCAGUCGCGAAGGCGGGUUCCUAGAACAAUACUGACGCUCAUGGACGAAAGUCUGGGUAGCAA
This 400-nucleotide ribosomal RNA is filed under the name uncultured bacterium. RNAcentral's name for it is "bacterial SSU rRNA". It matches the Rfam family "Bacterial small subunit ribosomal RNA", at positions 355 to 771 of the family's 1533-position model. The record is from RNAcentral.